AAUAUAGUGCCUGAUUUAAAAGGAUAGCUUUGAUAGAGCUAAUCAUGUAGGUUCCUACCUAUAUUA
This 66-nucleotide transfer RNA is filed under the name Clistocoeloma sinense. RNAcentral's name for it is "tRNA-Ile". Lineage: Eukaryota; Metazoa; Arthropoda; Malacostraca; Decapoda; Sesarmidae. The record is from RNAcentral.